Molecule: ribosomal RNA, 253 nt
Filed under: uncultured bacterium
Lineage: Bacteria
Description: partial 16S ribosomal RNA
Rfam family: Bacterial small subunit ribosomal RNA
Source: RNAcentral
UACAGGGGGGGCAAGCGUUGUUCGGAAUUACUGGGCGUAAAGGGUCUGUAGGUGGCUUGCUAAGUCAGACGUGAAAUCCCUCAGCUUAACUGGGGAACUGCGUCUGAUACUGGCGAGCUUGAGUGCAGGAGAGGAACGCGGAAUUCCAGGUGUAGCGGUGAAAUGCGUAGAUAUCUGGAGGAACACCGGUGGCGAAGGCGGCGUCCUGGACCAACACUGACACUGAGGAGCGAAAGCCAGGGGAGCAAACGGG